GGGGAAUAUUGGACAAUGGGGGCAACCCUGAUCCAGCGAUGCCGCGUGUGUGAAGAAGGCCUGAGGGUUGUAAAGCACUUGAGUUGGGGAGGAGAGGUGUGAUUUUAAUAAAGUCACACGGAGACGUUACUCAAAGAAUAAGCACCGGCUAACUCUGUGCCAGCAGCCGCGGUAAUACAGAGGGUGCAAGCGUUAAUCGGAAUGACUGGGCGUAAAGGGCAUGUAGGCGGCAUGAUGUGUCAUAGGUGAAAUCCCCGGGCUUAACCUGGGAACUGCCUGUGAAACUAUCGAGCUAGAAUAUAGGAGAGGGAAGUGGAAUUUCCGGUGUAGCGGUGAAAUGCGUAGAUAUCGGAAAGAACACCAGUGGCGAAGGCGACUUCCUGGCCUAAUAUUGACGCUGAGAUGCGAAAGCGUGGGGAGCAAA
Molecule: ribosomal RNA, 424 nt
Filed under: uncultured bacterium
Lineage: Bacteria
Description: bacterial SSU rRNA
Rfam family: Bacterial small subunit ribosomal RNA
Source: RNAcentral